UACGUAGGUGGCAAGCGUUGUCCGGAUUUACUGGGCGUAAAGAGCGCGCAGGCGGUCGUUCAAGUCGCGUGUGAAAGCCCCCGGCUCAACUGGGGAGGGUCACGCGAUACUGAUCGACUCGAAGGCAGGAGAGGGAAGUGGAAUUCCCGGUGUAGUGGUGGAAUGCGUAGAUAUCGGGAGGAACACCAGUGGCGCAGGCGGCGUCCUGGACCGGCACUGACGCUGAGGAGCGAAAGCGUGGGGAGCGAUCCGG
RNAcentral lists this ribosomal RNA (253 nucleotides) under uncultured bacterium. RNAcentral's name for it is "partial 16S ribosomal RNA". It matches the Rfam family "Bacterial small subunit ribosomal RNA", at positions 524 to 776 of the family's 1533-position model. The record is from RNAcentral.